AUACCAUGGUGAGGGCAAGCUCUUGUGUAUCCCUUCAGACGCUCCCAUGCAUCAUACAAACUCCCUUCUUCGCCUAGCUCGAAUCUAGGUAUAUCAUUCCUUAUCUU
Non-coding RNA from Arabis alpina (gray rockcress), 107 nucleotides. NCBI's taxonomy places the organism in Eukaryota, Viridiplantae, Streptophyta, Magnoliopsida, Brassicales, Brassicaceae. The record is from Rfam.